UACGUAGGGUGCGAGCGUUGUCCGGAAUUAUUGGGCGUAAAGGGCUCGUAGGCGGUUUGUCGCGUCGGGAGUGAAAACGCCGGGCUUAACCCGGUGCUUGCUUUCGAUACGGGCAGACUGGAGGUAUGCAGGGGAGAACGGAAUUCCUGGUGUAGCGGUGAAAUGCGCAGAUAUCAGGAGGAACACCGGUGGCGAAGGCGGGUCUCUGGGCCGAUACUGACGCUGAGGCGCGAAAGCCAGGGGAGCAAACGGG
This 253-nucleotide ribosomal RNA is filed under the name uncultured bacterium. RNAcentral describes it as "partial 16S ribosomal RNA". It matches the Rfam family "Bacterial small subunit ribosomal RNA", at positions 524 to 776 of the family's 1533-position model. The record is from RNAcentral.